GGAAAACUAGACUAUGUCCAUAGCAUGCGAACACGCUAUGGAGCAGAUUUUGUUGUCAUGCUCGUCGAUAAAUCCCGAUAUUGUGGAAUGGGCUAUCGACCCAGUUCUCCACAAGCUGAUUAUGCUUUCAGCCUAAUA
Molecule: non-coding RNA, 138 nt
Filed under: Asterionellopsis glacialis
Lineage: Eukaryota; Bacillariophyta; Plagiogrammaphyceae; Rhaphoneidales; Asterionellopsidaceae
Source: RNAcentral